UACGUAGGUGACAAGCGUUGUCCGGAAUUAUUGGGCGUAACGAGCUCGUAGGCGGUCUGUUGCGUCCGCUGUGAAAACUCGGGGCUUAACCCCGAGCCUGCAGUGGAUACGGGCAGACUAGAGGUAGGUAGGGGAGAAUGGAAUUCCCGGUGUAGCGGUGAAAUGCGCAGAUAUCGGGAGGAACACCGGUGGCGAAGGCGGUUCUCUGGGCCUUACCUGACGCUGAGGAGCGAAAGCGUGGGGAGCGAACAGG
RNAcentral lists this ribosomal RNA (253 nucleotides) under uncultured bacterium. Its description in RNAcentral is "partial 16S ribosomal RNA". It matches the Rfam family "Bacterial small subunit ribosomal RNA", at positions 524 to 776 of the family's 1533-position model. The record is from RNAcentral.